UACCAGCACCCCGAGUGGUCGGGACGAUUAUUGGGCCUAAAGCAUCCGUAGCCGGUCCUACAAGUCUUCCGUUAAAUCCACCUGCUUAACAGAUGGGCUGCGGAAGAUACUAUAGGGCUAGGAGGCGGGAGAGGCAAGCGGUACUCAGUGGGUAGGGGUAAAAUCCUUUGAUCCAUUGAAGACCACCAGUGGCGAAGGCGGCUUGCCAGAACGCGCUCGACGGUGAGGGAUGAAAGCUGGGGGAGCAAACCGG
This 253-nucleotide ribosomal RNA is filed under the name uncultured bacterium. RNAcentral's name for it is "partial 16S ribosomal RNA". It matches the Rfam family "Archaeal small subunit ribosomal RNA", at positions 474 to 727 of the family's 1478-position model. The record is from RNAcentral.